Molecule: long non-coding RNA, 444 nt
Filed under: Oryza brachyantha (malo sina)
Lineage: Eukaryota; Viridiplantae; Streptophyta; Magnoliopsida; Poales; Poaceae
Description: long non-coding RNA (OBRA_LNC002695)
Source: RNAcentral
CUGAGGGAGGGGAGAUGGCUUCCUUGCAUGUUAAAUGAUACCAAAAGAGGGGAGGGAGGGGUUUUUGUGAGCUUUUUGGAGGAGAAUGUUUCAUGGAAGGGAAGAUGGAAGAUGAACCAUGGGUGAGUUCUUGUCGAAUUCAGCACCCUGAUCUGUUCUUGUUUCUGUUAAUGCGGAUCUAAAUUCAGCAAAAAAGAAAGAAGAGAAAAAAAACACACAAAAUCUAGCUUUCAUAAAAUUGGAGGCUAUCGGAUGGAAAGAGAUGGCAGUAUUGUAAUCCGUAUUAGGCUGUUGAAUCAUGUAUGGAAGUGCUUAUAAAUAAUCCCAGUACUAGAUCCUAUCUAAAUUUAGAGGAGCAUCAUCGGCAUUUCUUCCUUGAUUUUCAAGUAACAAUUAUCCGAUCACAAAACAAACAUUUUUCUUUUUUCCUUUUGUGUUCCCAGA